UCUGAUCUGAUCUGAUCCCGUGCCGAUCGGGUGUCCGCACUAAGUUCGGCAUCAAUAUGGUGACCUCCCGGGAGCGGGGGGCCACCAGGUUGCCUAAGGAGGGGUGAACCGGCCCAGGUCGGAAAUGGAGCAGGAAGGGGCCAGUGUGGCCGAGCCUGGCUUGCUGACCUGCCCAGAGGGCAGGAGACCAGGCCAG
This 196-nucleotide small RNA is filed under the name Bos grunniens (domestic yak). Its description in RNAcentral is "Metazoan signal recognition particle RNA (ENSBGRG00000024832.1)". It matches the Rfam family "Metazoan signal recognition particle RNA", at positions 76 to 269 of the family's 299-position model. Rfam says of the family: The signal recognition particle (SRP) is a universally conserved ribonucleoprotein. Lineage: Eukaryota; Metazoa; Chordata; Mammalia; Artiodactyla; Bovidae. The record is from Rfam by way of RNAcentral.